Non-coding RNA from Caenorhabditis elegans, 21 nucleotides. The record is from Ensembl. Lineage: Eukaryota; Metazoa; Nematoda; Chromadorea; Rhabditida; Rhabditidae.
UAUUACGUCUUGGUCCUCAAG